Molecule: long non-coding RNA, 4479 nt
Organism: Myotis daubentonii (Daubenton's bat)
Lineage: Eukaryota; Metazoa; Chordata; Mammalia; Chiroptera; Vespertilionidae
Exons: 3
Source: RefSeq, a predicted model, not a curated record
CUCAGGGUCCCGCGCAGGCCAGCUCAGAAGUAAUGACUGGGCUAUCGCGGAGGGGAAAUGACACAGAGGCAUUGGGAGGGAGACGGAAAGUCGGGGCCUGAGUGUUCCUUGCGGAGAAAAAGUCCAUUCUGCGAAGGGUCCUUCAGCUAAGUUGUGGGCCCCGUGGAGGGGGCGCGCGAGCUUUUUGCACGCCGCUGGGAACGCGCUGGGUCCGUUGGGAGUCGCGCUGCGUAGACGCCCCCGGCGGCGGGAGAGGAGAGCGAGGCCUGCCCUGCACGGAGCCGCCAGCCAGCGCCGGCCUUCCGGAGGGGCUGCAGUCUCUGACUUCCCAGCGUCUCCUUCUGUGCCUCACUUCCCCCCUUCUGACCGGAUGUAUUAGAGAAGGAGACGGGCUGUGGUGUUAUUUUAAUACCCACAUUUCUCCAAUAUUUCCGCAAUUAUUACUGCUACUUAUUUCACGUAACAUCAUGCCCGUUGGUGUUGUUGCCUGUGCUUUGGAAAUGUGCCUCCCGCUCCCCAAGUUUGGCGGAUGAGGUUUUUGUCCCUCGAUCUAGUUCAUGAAAUGAGAAAUGGAAACGGAACGUGGUUCCGGGGGCCCAACUGGGAUAGCCGGCGCGAACGAGCUGAGCUGGAGGUGCAACGGAGCGCUCUUCUUGCCCCUCCAAUCUGGGCGUCCCCAGCGGGGAGAAGGGUGCGGGUCUUGAGCUGAGAGAGCGUGGAGCCGCCCGUCCCGUGUGCUGAGCCGAGCCUGAGAACUCCGGCCACAUCUGCUGCCCCGAAACUAGAAGGAUCUCAGGUUGUAGCCACCACGUCUGCGUGGCCAGCACAUCCCCUCGGCCUCCAAGAUGAGCGGGGAAAAUACACAGAAUUCCAGGCUGUGACCCGGGAAGAUAGAGACUCCAGGUCUGGGGUGCAGGCGGGGGGCCUGUCUAGAGACCCCCUCCCUCAACAGGAGGGCGCAAUGGAAACUUGGGAGCCCGCUGCUCUCGGGGCUCUGGAAAGACAAAUUUUCUUUGGCAAAGGGAACGGUGUCGCGCUGUCGACACGGCAGACUAUUUUUCUUGUUCCCUCAUAAGGAGGGGUGGGGGGGGGGAGAAAAGAGAGCAAGAAAGAGAGGGAAAUUAAAUCCACACGUGUUAAGCUUGCUCAAAGGGCCGGAUUCAAAACCAGAGAUGAAACUGCGCCUCCAGUGCUGGCUGCUCGCCGGCCUCUUUCCAGCCAGCCCCAGCCGGCGAGCAAGGCGUCCCCACCGGGGAGAAUUCGAUCCUAGGUUUCAUAAAGCGCUUUGUGUAAGGGGGUUGGGGGCCAUGGUUCCUUUCUGUCUACACCGCAGAGUCAGAACUCAGAGCGGCAAAGCAAAGAAAGGCGGUCGGACGGUGGGGCUCAUUGCCCCGUAAGAAAGCGCAGCUCCCUGUCUCCCCAGGAACCCGCGGCCUCGGGGACAUUCAUGGCCAAAGCGAGCCAGACUGGUGGUUUUGGAAAUUCACGCCAUCUGCCCGGGCUUUUCGGACUUGGGCCGCCCAGGGUCGAGAGAGCCUAACCAGCUGUUGUAUUGACGCUGGGAUGGCCAGCUUAACCUGCCGGCUGACACCCACCCGCACCCCUCUCUUUGGGGAGAAGCUUGCUGGUUAGGAGGUUCCAGGCCCAGCGCACUGGGAAGGGGGCGGAUGGAGGCGGCCAGCCCUCCUGGAGCUGCGAGUGAAAACUCUAGUAAUGACCUUAAGGAGGUGAAGGGAGGCGGGUGGGGGUGCGGGGGCGGAAGGCGGCCAAACCCCAAACUGGAGGGAUCCGUCACCGAAACGAUUGCUUGGUCGAGACCUCUAAUUUUUCUUCCCUUUCAGCCCGGGUUUCCGGCCUGCGGGGGGCAGCUGCGACAGAAGGGUCCGGAACAGGGGGACCCCAGACACGCGCGUCCCGGCCACAGUCACACCCGGAAAACACUGGGUACAACGGACAGGUUCCCGGUGGAAAAGCUCCUGGGGAUGUUUCCCGGAGGACCCUGGGUUUGCUGGUCACCAUGGCAACCUCAGAGCCCUGUUGAACAACAACCGCGCACGCCCCCCCCCACCACCAGCUAGCACUUUUGGGGCAUGUCCUGAGGCCUGCAAGGCGCUGUCCCUGGGGCUGCGGGCUGUUCGGAGGCCCCCGAAGUAGGCUCCGCAGGCGGAGGCAGAAAAAUCCCCUCUGUUUUCAACAGAGGAGAAAAUCGAGAUUUAGUACAAUCUCUGAGAGAAGUUCAGAUCCUGAGAGAAAGCCCUGCCUAGAGUUCAGAGCGCUGACCUGGGUAGGGGGGGGCGGGGGAGAAGCUGCAUGGGCCUGGGCUGGGCACCUGGGACCCAUGAGUCCCUGCAUCUCUUCACAUGGCUGCCCACCCCCAUCCGCCCCCAGACUCCCCCUUCUGUGUCUGUCCGACCUUGCCUGGAAUAACCUCUCCUAAAGGGAACAAGGAAGGUCAAGGAAGCUGGCGGCAUCCGUGUCUGCGAGGUCUAUUGCGGGAAAGAAUAAAUUGCACUCCAUUUCCUUCUAGAGAAAACCUGUCCGCAUGAAGAUGCACUAGAAACAGCAGUGAAAGGAUAUUUGGGGGGUGCACUUCUUUCUUCUUGAACCCGCAGGAGGACAGGGGGACGGACAGUGGACAAUGUAGUUGGCAUUUUGGAGGCAGAGAGCUCUGAGAAAGACCAGGGUGCUGACCAGCUCGGGCUGACCAGCAUGGCAGGGAUUGAGGGUGCCAGUGAGGGGGCAGAGAAAGACGGGGUCCCGGCCUGGGUGCUGCAGAGGCCUUUGGCCAUGGGAUGGGAGUGACUCCUCUUUUGGGGUCCUACCCCGAGUUUCACUCUGUACCCCAUUCAUCUGCAGACUGGCCAGGAAAGACAACACUCAACCUCCUUCCCUCUGCUUCCAGUGGGCCCUCUCAUGUCCCCCAAAGCCCUGGGCUGGCCUGUGCUGCCCCUGCCCCUGCCCACAGCCUACAGAGGUUCCCUCCACCUCAACUCAAGACCCCUGUCUCCUUCCCUCCCCAGCACCUUGCAUGAAUAUUCUCAGAAGAGCCCUGUCCGUGUCUACACAGCCACAAAGGGAAAUGUGAGCAUUUGAGGCUCAAAAACCAGUUGGCAUUGGAGGUGCAAUAACAGCUACCGUUCUGGCGGCCGCAGCUGUUGCAGCAGGUGCCGCUCACUCGUGUGGCUCUGGAUGAAUUAGGCUCAGAGAGGGCGAGGACUUGACUAGUCGCACAGCCUCUGCCGGAAGUGCUCCCAGCUGCUCCCCACCCCCUAGGGCCUAGGCUUUGUGUCUUCAGGUAGAGGCUGAAAGGAGCCCGGCGCUUCCCAGUGGGGUGGGCAGGUGGCUGUGGGCUCAGCCUGCGAAGGUCAGCGCUGGGAGGUGUAUCGGCCUCACUGGGAUGGACGGCCUGCAGGGUCCUGGGCGCAGUUCCCAGACUCGGGGUUCUCAGGGUGGAGGGAGCAGGCCAGGCGCGGCCCUCUGGCCAGUCUUCAUGUGACGCGCUUCCUGAGCCGGUGGAGUCCUACUGCCUCAAGGUCCCAGGGGUGGGCCUCAGGGCGGUCCCAGAGCCCGUAGGGGCUCCAGGCUUGGGACCCAGAGGGACCUGUGCCUGGCGCCGGGCCCGAGGACUCACAGUCACGUUCUCUUGUUGUCCCUCUUCCAGAUUCUUCUUCCUGUUGCUUGUUUGUCACAGCAGCAGGGCACACCCCUCCCACGCUGGCUCCUGGUGCGGCGCUGGCUGCCACCGUCCAGGUUGAGAAGGGAAGGUGGGGGACUCUGAGAUCCGAACCUGGGAGUAGGGCCCCAAAGGGAGGCUCCAGGGGUCCCCGCUCUUUAACUUCCUCUCUUCCGUUUCCUCCACCAGGGACCAGCCAGCGCUGGUCUUCCAGGGGUUGAUUCUUCCCAACUCCCACCUCCACCCCCACCCCCACCCCAUGCAGAACGCGCUUCCUCUGAGGCCGCCCCACCUCCAGGCUCACCAGGGGCCUCCACACCUCCUCCCCCAGGACGCAGGCCAGGACCCCAGGUUCUGUUUUGGGGCUUCCUUCUGGCUCCAGCUCCCCAACAAUCGCUCUGCCAAGGGCCGAUUGAUUUCCUCCUGCGCCCUGGUGAGUGUGAGGCCCAGCAGUGGUGCCUGACCCACAGCACCCAACCCACGCUCAGAACCACGCAAUCCCCACCCCCACCCCCAGUCUCCACGCUGUGACUCAGCUCCAGGUCCUGCUCAGCACUGCGAGAGGCAGAGAGGUGGCUGUGUGACUCCUUCUAUGUGGCUCAAUAUGACCCUGUCGCCCGGUGGGCGUGGCUCAGUGGUUGAGCGUCCACCUAUGAACCAGGAGAUCACGGUUCAAUUCCCGGUCAGGGCACAUGUCCAGGUUGCGGGCUUGAUACCCAGUGUGGGGCGUGUAGGAGGCAGCUGAUCAAUGAUUCUCUCUCAUCAUUGAUGUUUCCAUCCCCAUCUCCCUUCCUCUCUGAAAUGAA